Molecule: long non-coding RNA, 1062 nt
Filed under: Lepisosteus oculatus (spotted gar)
Lineage: Eukaryota; Metazoa; Chordata; Actinopteri; Semionotiformes; Lepisosteidae
Description: lncRNA (ENSLOCG00000021348.1)
Source: RNAcentral
AUGCUGCCCCCCAUAAGACCCCUCACCCCCGGCUCAGUCAAGCUCAACCUCCUCUAUUUCCAAAACUCGCUGCACUUUCUCCAAAAGGAAAACGCGGAUCACGCCCUACGCAUCACUCCGCCAUGUCACGUAGUCCCCACAUUAAAACACUGCCGGGGAGCCCGCCAGCGCGCCCGGGAUGGCAGCCGACGCUCCUACCCGUCCUCCGGAUCACCUAACUCGCUUUCAGACGGCGCCGGCGCCGAGGGGGAACCGGCUAAAUUCGCUUAUUUCAACUCGCUCCCCGUGGACGGAUACCGUAGUGCGGUUUGUGCUUCUCCUGGGGGGGGGGAGGACAGCCAUGCCCUGUGUAAGACAGAAGGAAGAGUCUGGCUCUCCGAGAGGCCAGAGAGAGGGGUGUGUGGAGACAUAACAUCUGGAUACCUCCUCAGCCGGUGCAAGUCCCCCCUGCCCCCCGCACACAGAGACCCCACAACACACAGGCCUGCUGCUUGGGAUACUUCCAGUGAACGUCUUCAUCCAGAUCUUCUCCUGUCAGCUGGGACACCAGGCAGCUGCGGGGCGCAGCUGGAGGGGUCUGGGCCCGGAGUUUUCCAUCUCAAGCUCUGACAGGAGCGUGGAGGCUGCCCGGCCCUGCGAGACACCACCACUGACGCCAUGAGCCCAGGGAAGGAGAGGAUACCGGUUAAAGACAGAGCAGGAGCAGGGACAGUGAAGAACCCUUGAAAUCAGAACACGACAGGACAGAGUGGGAUAAAAAUAAGCCCAAUUUGCAUGUCAAGGAGAAGCAUUUCACAAAAGCUUUAGCAUGAUCAAGGGUUACUGUAGGUGAGUCAUCCAUGACUAGUUUUUCUAUAAACUCAGGUUUGGAACAGAUUGGCGUCUGGGUGAGGGUACAUUGUUUCUGUGGUAAUGAUCCUUUGUAGAUCAGUGGAUUGGAAGUCUUGGCUCUGCUGCCGCCGCAAGAUGAUAAAGCACACGGGAACCAUCUGCGCAGUGCUGGACGCGCUGAAAAAAAAUAGGUUCACUAAACGGUCAGGCCUGCCACACAGCCCAGAGUUC